CCUACGGGUGGCAGCAGUGGGGGAUAUUGCACAAUGGGGGAAACCCUGAUGCAGCGACGCCGCGUGUGGGAAGACGGUCCUCUGGAUUGUAAGCCACUGUCCCCAGGGACGAAGAUGACGGUACCUGGGGAUGAAACUCCGGCUAGCUACGGGCCAGCAGCCGCGGUAAUACGUGGGGAGCAAGCGUUGUACGGAAUUACUGGGUGUAAAGGGAGCGUAGGCGGGGUGGCAAGUUGGGUGUUAAAGCUACCGGCUAAACUGGUAGUCGCACUGCAAACUGCUAUUCUUGAGUGAAGUAGAGGCAGGCGGAAUUCCUAGUGUAGCGGUGAAAUGCGUAGAUAUUAGGAGGAACACCAGUGGCGAAGGCGGCCUGCUGGGCUUUUACUGACGCUGAGGCUCGAAAGUGUGGGGAGCAAACAGGAUUAGAUACCCUUGUAGUC
RNAcentral lists this ribosomal RNA (440 nucleotides) under uncultured bacterium. RNAcentral's name for it is "partial 16S ribosomal RNA". It matches the Rfam family "Bacterial small subunit ribosomal RNA", at positions 338 to 795 of the family's 1533-position model. The record is from RNAcentral.